Non-coding RNA from Drosophila melanogaster (fruit fly), 1264 nucleotides. NCBI's taxonomy places the organism in Eukaryota, Metazoa, Arthropoda, Insecta, Diptera, Drosophilidae. The record is from Ensembl.
ACUUUGGACGGAUGAUGUCCUUGAAAGUGAAUGCGGAUGCGAGUGGAGGCUUUUCCGAAUUGCUCGUGGAGUCCGGACCCUGUCCUUGUGAGGAAGACAGCGUCGCAUAAGCUGCAUUCCUGCUGGUUGGAAGUCCAUCGAGAUAUUUUAGCUGGGGAAGCACCUGUAGUAUAUACUCGCGGGGUCCUUGGCCCCCGAAAACUGUGCGGAUGCCAGGAUUCCCCAUGCAAGAGAGCUGAUCCAGCGCAGGACAGUGCCGUUCGAUGCGGUGUAUCCAAUCGGUUAUAUUUGCUAUAUCGCAAUUGUUGAUCCUGCAAGACGAAUAGAAUAUGUGUUAUUGCGUGGACCCAUGUAUGCAAGAUUCAGGGUAAUCACCACAAGAUCCUUAAGCUCGGCAAAUAAGGAAAAGUGUUUAUGUCCAGGUUUACGUUGCGGUCCAGGAUUAAAGUGUCCAGAUCCUCGAAAAAGGAGAGAAAUCUCAAGUUUCGGAAAUCAUUGUGACUCAAAUCGAGAAACUUGGUCUGCGCUGCGAAUUUGUCGGCCAGUCGCCGCGGAAUUGUCUUCAGGUUCUCAUAGGCCAGCGAAAUGCGUCCGUUGUCCUCUAGGAUGCUUUCCGAAAAUGAUACAUCUUCACUUGGACAACUGCUGAUGGAAAUGUUGCCACUAAAGGAAUACGGAUUCGGCGUAAUCAUCUUCCCCACGUUGUCUUCGGUCAGCAAAACGUCGUUAUAUUCGUAGUUCAAGCUCUCCAGCGACUGAAUGUUGGCACAAUUCCUGAGGACCUCCGUUAGGCAGGGAUUCAACGGGCUGGAAGCGGGAUAUUUUGGUCAUUACAUGGAUUUUUGAAUGCCUAUCUACUACCUGUCUUCGGAGUUGGAGCGUUCAGAGGUCGAUGUUCCAGACAUAACGGCGUAGAUCUACAUAACUGGCAGCAGCUCCUAUUCUUGGUGUUUUCCAAUCGGGAUCGGGACUCCGUCGGAUGGUAUUUAUUUUGGUCCAACGUCUGUGGUAGACUGAGGGAAAAAUGACACUUGACUCUCGCUCCGCGCAGAUUAUCUGGAUCUUCCGCUCCCCAAGCAAACACAUACCCAUAUCUGUGAGUGUAUUGAAACAAUUGUCAUCUCGGUGGUCACAAUCACCCAACGCACUCAAAGUACACUCGAAAAAAGCUCUGUUGGAAAUGUAAACAUGUAGUGAAUCUUUUCUGCCACAAUUCCUCCUUAUUUUGAGAUAAGUUUAUAAAUAAACGUUUUUUUUUCUCUGU